RNAcentral lists this ribosomal RNA (265 nucleotides) under uncultured bacterium. RNAcentral describes it as "partial 16S ribosomal RNA". The record is from RNAcentral.
CUGCUGCCUUCCGUAGGAGUUUGGGCCGUGUCUCAGUCCCAAUGUGGCCGGUCACCCUCUCAGGUCGGCUACUGAUCGUCGCCUUGGUAGGCCGUUACCCCACCAACCAGCUAAUCAGACGCGGGUCCAUCUCAUACCACCGGAGUUUUUACCACCGGGCCAUGCGGCCCUGUGGUCUUAUGCGGUAUUAGCAGUCAUUUCUAACUGUUAUCCCCCUGUAUGAGGCAGGUUACCCACGCGUUACCUCACCCGUCCGCCGCUCAGU